This 467-nucleotide ribosomal RNA is filed under the name uncultured bacterium. RNAcentral's name for it is "partial 16S ribosomal RNA". It matches the Rfam family "Bacterial small subunit ribosomal RNA", at positions 28 to 507 of the family's 1533-position model. The record is from RNAcentral.
GACGAACGCUGGCGGCGUGCUUAACACAUGCAAGUCGAACGAUGACGACCGAGCUUGCUCGGUCUGAUUAGUGGCGAACGGGUGAGUAACACGUGAGCAACCUGCCCUUCACUCUGGGAUAGCCUCGGGAAAUCGGGGCUAAUACCUGAUAUGAGCUCCUGUCGCAUGGGGGGUGUUGGAAAGUUUUUCGGUGGAGGAUGGGCUCGCGGCCUAUCAGUUUGUUGGUGAGGUAGUGGUCCACCAAGGCGAUGACGGGUAGCCGGCCUGAGAGGGGGACCGGCCACACUGGGACUGAGACACGGCCCAGACUCCUACGGGAGGCAGCAGUGGGGAAUAUUGCACAAUGGGCGGAAGCCUGAUGCAGCGACGCCGCGUGAGGGAUGACGGCCUUCGGGUUGUAAACCUCUUUCAGCAGGGAAGAAGCGAAAGUGACGGUACCUGCAGAAGAAGCGCCGGCUAACUACGUG